AUAAGUAGUGGUGCAGCUAGCAAAACAUUCCGCAGUAGAAAACAAUCAAGGAUGUAUGGACAUGAUUCACGAGAAAUGAGAAUAACAUGAGAAUCCAUUGGAACAUCAAAUGGAGGCUCACCAGCCAUCAUAUUACUUUCACAUAACAUUUGUCUCGAUCACAGCAUUUCAUUUAAAACACUCAGAAGUCACCUACAGAAGCUAAAUCGAAGGUAGAUUGGCAAAUCUUUGAAGCAACCAGCGUCGGAACCAUAGUCACGAUUUCCAAGGCUUAAACCUCCUGCACGCUCAAGCCUGCCAAAAGAAGAGUUAAAAAAUCAGUAUCUUGCAAAGUGGCCGGGAAAUUUCACAUCCAUGUUUCAACUUGAAACAAAAUAAAAAUGGGGAUACAUGGAGGCAGAUGCACUGAUGCACACAAUAGAACCAAAUUUCUGAUCUAAUCCUUGUCUAAUACUUCUUAGCAGAGGGCCUGUCGGGUAGAACAAAAUCAAAGAAAGCAUGUACAACCUAAGAUUUAACUAAACACUCUGUUUAAAGGGGCAUGAUCAAUCAUGGAGCACAAAGGCAUAAUCAGUAGUGGUGACAUGAAUUCCUACAUCACUCCAACUAAGUAAGCUGACAUUCACAGGAACCAACGAUAUUGCAAUGGGGGUCUUCUGAGUUAUGACUAUUGAGGCAAAGAACAGAGGAGCUUUCAGCUAAAAGACCUGAGCAACAACCAGAGUCAAUUAGCACGUAAAAUAAUAGAAAUUAAACAGCUCGUGCAAAGUUCAUAUGAUGCGCGCAUGUAAAAUCUAAUGGUUCUCAAAUGAUGUUCACAAUAAACUACAUGCGCAACAAAACCAGUAACAUGGUCAGAAGUCAGAAAUCUGACAGAAUGGCUUGCUAUUCUGUGAAAAGGUCACUUGUGUAAGCCAUGAAACAAAAUGUCAAUUCCACUAACCCUGGAGACAUCUAGAUACACACCAUGCAGAUCAAAAUGGGUUUAGCCAAUGCCAAAUACAUAGUGCGAUACAUACCAGGAGGGAGAGACUGCUUCAGCUUGUUGGCCUUCUCAGUGUCGAACACACACAGUGUGUAGAGGUACUUGGAGCAGCGAACCUUGAACUUGACGGCAUCCUUGCUCCUCUUGAUCCUCACGGAGCGGGCAUCCUUCCUCCUCGCUGUCAGAAGGAAAUCCUUGAUCUCA
This 1189-nucleotide long non-coding RNA is filed under the name Setaria viridis. RNAcentral's name for it is "long non-coding RNA (SVIR_LNC002731)". Lineage: Eukaryota; Viridiplantae; Streptophyta; Magnoliopsida; Poales; Poaceae. The record is from RNAcentral.